UUUUUUUCUUCUUCUUCCUCGAAGAGAGAGAGAGAGAGAGAUUUU
RNAcentral lists this small RNA (45 nucleotides) under Arabidopsis thaliana (thale cress). RNAcentral describes it as "ATSL108040". The record is from RNAcentral. Lineage: Eukaryota; Viridiplantae; Streptophyta; Magnoliopsida; Brassicales; Brassicaceae.